RNAcentral lists this long non-coding RNA (234 nucleotides) under Elaeis guineensis (African oil palm). RNAcentral's name for it is "long non-coding RNA (EGUI_LNC003486)". The record is from RNAcentral. Lineage: Eukaryota; Viridiplantae; Streptophyta; Magnoliopsida; Arecales; Arecaceae.
UUGCUUGAUUUAUGCUGUCUUAGGUGCACACUUAUAGUGUGUCCUCGGUGAUCCAGAUGCUGUCCUGUCCCUCCAACUACUAGGGAUGGCAAUGAGUCGGGUGUGGGUUGCGUAGCCUAUCAUUCAUACUCACUCUAUAUUUGUUUCGGGGUAGGUAGGGCAGGUAGGUGUAAUUAGAAGGAGUAGGAUAAGAGACAUACCAGAUCAGAUAAUGAUAUAAUUUUUUUUUUGGGC